Vitis riparia (riverbank grape) is the source of this 1736-nucleotide long non-coding RNA. RefSeq lists it as uncharacterized. NCBI's taxonomy places the organism in Eukaryota, Viridiplantae, Streptophyta, Magnoliopsida, Vitales, Vitaceae. The transcript is spliced from 2 exons. The record is from RefSeq and is a predicted model, not a curated record.
UUCCUUCAAAAUUUCCAAAAUCAAACAUUGCAUCCUUAGGGUUGGUAACAAUCCCAGAAGAAACCAGAAACCAAUUAAAAUUUAUAUCCUGGAUAUAUGUGGAAAGAACUGGAUGCAUUCAUAGCAAAUUAGACUUUGGAAGUGUAGAGGAAAGAAUGAUCAUCUCCUGGAAUGUGAAAUCUGAAUGCAUCCAUGACAUCCAUCCCACUUGGUUCCCAUGCCUAGGAUCACAGAGUAUUCAUGUAAAUCCACAAAAACAAUAAUAACCACGUUUAGUGGGGUUUUUAAUGUUGCAGAAAAGAUGAAUAAACAUUUUGGGUAUUGAAUACAAAUGUGUGAGAAAUAUGUCCAUUCUUUUCCAAAGCAUUAUUAUUGAUGGAUCAAUUUGAUUUGGGUGAGUGUUUGAUAAUAUUCAAAGUGACAGAUUGCUGACCUUCUUGUUUUUUGUCUAAUUGUUGAAUGUUAUCUACAUUAUUACUAUUGGAGCCAAAAAAAUUACAUUAAUAUUGAUGGAACAAUUGAUCUUGAGGACUCCUCCUGACAUGAUUGGGGCACCCAUAUCUCUAAACGGAGCAUCUUCUUGGAAUGAUUCCUCACAAUUCAUGGGCACUAGCAUAAGGGUUCAAGUGGUUCCAGGUUGAGCAUCUCCCUGGAACAAAGGUGAAUAAGUGUCUUAGAUGCGAGGGCAAGGGCAGGUAGCAGACGAAGCUCCACCUUUAGCUACUCCAUAGGCACAUAUCCCUCUCUCGGGCGCUAGGCCAGCCACAACUGGUCUUUGUGGAAAAGGCCAACGAUGCCCGCGAUGGGGGCAUCUAAUAGUGGAAAUCCAAGGAAGGAAGAAAAUGGUUGAGUGUGAGAAAGCAAGUAGGAAGAAACAAGAGAAAGCGGGGAAGAAAUACCUCAUAUAGGAGUUUGCGGGGGACCAUUGGGAAACUAAAAAACGCAUUCGCCAUGUCUCUUGAAAGAUGUGCCUAUAAUUAAAGUCUAAUUGGGAGCUUACCAUAAUUCAAUGCAUUCAUAGGGUAUGUGCGAGCUUGGGUUGUUCGACAACCUGCAUGAUCAACCUACCAAUCGAGCUAAUCCUAAACCACCUACAAAACCCAUCACAAUUGGACGACAAUGGAGAGGGAUAGGCCAACCUGGCCUCCCCACUCUAACCGGCCCCCAUCAGUAGAUGUCUGCAAGAAGGACGCCUACCACUUCUCGAGACAGAAGAAGAGGGUGCAACAAGAAUGGGGGGAGCUCUUGAGGGCAUACCUUUCCAAGUAGAGACGGUUUGAUGUCUUGUAGUAAGUUCACCAUGACUAUCCAUCUGCUAGUUUAUACAGGGAAAAUAUUCAUAGCGAAUGUAUGGGGUUCGUGUUCACUCGGUUUAGGUAUAUUUUUUAAUGCUGCAAGGUAAGAUGUGUGCUCAAUAAUGACCAUAUGGAGAUAAUUUCCUUAGACAAGAGAAGCAAGGCUUGAGCCAAAGCAAAAUGGAUAGCAGAAGUGAUGCCUUUACAGUUCCACCGGAGCCGAAAGAUCAUGGAUUUCAACAGACGAUCGAACUGCUGUUGCAGUUGUGAUGAAACUUGCAUGUAGAUUUGCCAUAACGAAGAUGAUUUUCAUGGUGUUUCAAAUCCACAAAACCCUCUCUAUGAAACUAUUGUAGACCAUCUAUGGUGUAUGACAAUCAGCUAGUUUUGCAUUUUCUUGCUUUUCUUUUGUGCAAAUGCUUCAUGAACAUUGCUUAUCGA